GGGGCAACCUGGUGGCGAGUGGCGAACGGGUGAGUAAUAUAUCGGAACGUACCCUGGAGUGGGGGAUAACGUAGCGAAAGUUACGCUAAUACCGCAUACGAUCUAAGGAUGAAAGUGGGGGCUUCGCAAGAACCUCAUGCUCCUGGAGCGGCCGAUAUCUGAUUAGCUAGUUGGUGGGGUAAAGGCUCACCAAGGCUUCGAUCAGUAGCUGGUCUGAGAGGACGACCAGCCACACUGGAACUGAGACACGGUCCAGACUCCUACGGGAGGCAGCAGUGGGGAAUUUUGGACAAUGGGCGCAAGCCUGAUCCAGCAAUGCCGCGUGAGUGAAGAAGGCCUUCGGGUUGUAAAGCUCUUUUGUCAGGGAAGAAACGGUGAGGGCUAAUAUCCCUUGCUAAUGACGGUACCUGAAGAAUAAGCACCGGCUAACUACGUGCCAGCAGCCGCGGUAAUACGUAGGGUGCAAGCGUUAAUCGGAAUUACUGGGCGUAAAGCGUGCGCAGGCGGUUUUGUAAGUUUGUCGUGAAAGCCCCGGGCUCAACCUGGGAAUUGCGAUGAAGACUGCAAGGCUUGAAUCUGGCAGAGGGGGGUAGAAUUCCACGUGUAGCAGUGAA
Molecule: ribosomal RNA, 614 nt
Filed under: uncultured beta proteobacterium
Lineage: Bacteria; Pseudomonadati; Pseudomonadota; Betaproteobacteria
Description: bacterial SSU rRNA
Rfam family: Bacterial small subunit ribosomal RNA
Source: RNAcentral